UACGUAGGGGGCGAGCGUUGUCCGGAUUCAUUGGGCGUAAAGAGCUCGUAGGCGGCUUGGCAAGCCGGGUGUGAAAACUCCAGGCUCAACCUGGAGACGCCACCCGGGACUGCUAUGGCUAGAGUCCGGUAGGGGAUCACGGAAUUCCUGGUGUAGCGGUGAAAUGCGUAGAUAUCAGGAGGAACACCUGCGGUGUAGACGGCUUACUGGACCAUAACUGACGCUGAGGCACGAAAGCGUGGGUAGCAAACAGG
Molecule: ribosomal RNA, 254 nt
Filed under: uncultured bacterium
Lineage: Bacteria
Description: partial 16S ribosomal RNA
Rfam family: Bacterial small subunit ribosomal RNA
Source: RNAcentral